AAUCAAUUGCCACCGGGUAAUUAAAGCAUUGAUCAUCUGUCGUUAGGUCUUAGAAGAUGGAUGAUAAUGCUUAUUUUUUU
Molecule: non-coding RNA, 80 nt
Filed under: unclassified sequences
Source: RNAcentral